This 382-nucleotide ribosomal RNA is filed under the name actinobacterium BAL171. Its description in RNAcentral is "bacterial SSU rRNA". It matches the Rfam family "Bacterial small subunit ribosomal RNA", at positions 65 to 451 of the family's 1533-position model. The record is from RNAcentral. Lineage: Bacteria; Bacillati; Actinomycetota; Actinomycetes.
AACGGAAAGGCCCUUCGGGGUACUCGAGUGGCGAACGGGUGAGUAACACGUGGGCAACCUGCCCCUAGCUCUGGGAUAACACCGGGAAACCGGUGCUAAUACCGGAUACACACUUUUUGAGGCAUCUCAGAUGGUGGAAAGUUUUUCGGCUAGGGAUGGGCCCGCGGCCUAUCAGCUUGUUGGUGGGGUAAUGGCCUACCAAGGCGACGACGGGUAGCCGGCCUGAGAGGGCGACCGGCCACACUGGGACUGAGACACGGCCCAGACUCCUACGGGAGGCAGCAGUGGGGAAUAUUGCGCAAUGGGCGAAAGCCUGACGCAGCGACGCCGCGUGAGGGAUGACGGCCUUCGGGUUGUAAACCUCUUUCAGCUCUGACGAAGC